RNAcentral lists this ribosomal RNA (492 nucleotides) under uncultured bacterium. RNAcentral's name for it is "partial 16S ribosomal RNA". It matches the Rfam family "Bacterial small subunit ribosomal RNA", at positions 29 to 507 of the family's 1533-position model. The record is from RNAcentral.
AGUGAACGCUGGCGGUAGGCCUAACACAUGCAAGUCGAACGGCAGCACAGUAAGAGCUUGCUCUUACGGGUUGCGAGUGGCGGACGGGUGAGGAAUACAUCGGAAUCUACUUUUUCGUGGGGGAUAACGUAGGGAAACUUACUCUAAUACCGCAUACGCCCUACGGGUGAAAGCAUUGGAUCUUCGGACCUUGCGCGAUUGAAUUAGCCGAUGUCGGAGUAGCUAGUUGGCGGGGUAAAGGCCCACCAAGUCGACGAUCCGUAGCUGGUCUGAGAGGAUGGUCGGCCGCACUGGAGCUGAGACAGGGUCAAGACUACUGAGAGAGGCAGCAGUGGGGAAUAUUGGACAAUAGGCGCAAGCAUGAUCCAGCCAUACCGCGUGGGUGAAGAAGGCCUUCGGGUUGUAAAGCCCUUUUGUUGGGAAAAAAAAGCAGCAGGUUAAUACCACGCUGUUGUGACGGUACCGAAAGAAUAAGCACCGGCUAACUUCGUG